AGCCUCUCAAUGCUUACCACAGGCUGUGUUCUUUACACUGACUGUAUAGAAAGAGGAGGUACAUAUACACCUCCCCAUAUACACCUCAAACCAGGCCCUUUGCCUGGUCUGUAUUGUGAAUGGAGGGACAAAA
This is a small nucleolar RNA of Suncus etruscus (white-toothed pygmy shrew), 133 nucleotides long. RefSeq annotates it as small nucleolar RNA SNORA51. Lineage: Eukaryota; Metazoa; Chordata; Mammalia; Eulipotyphla; Soricidae. The record is from RefSeq and is a predicted model, not a curated record. The transcript has a single exon.